This 515-nucleotide ribosomal RNA is filed under the name uncultured bacterium. RNAcentral's name for it is "partial 16S ribosomal RNA". It matches the Rfam family "Bacterial small subunit ribosomal RNA", at positions 28 to 523 of the family's 1533-position model. The record is from RNAcentral.
GAUGAACGCUGGCGGCGUGCCUAAUACAUGCAAGUCGAGCGAAUGGAUUAAGAGCUUGCUCUUAUGAAGUUAGCGGCGGACGGGUGAGUAACACGUGGGUAACCUGCCCAUAAGACUGGGAUAACUCCGGGAAACCGGGGCUAAUACCGGAUAACAUUUUGAACCGCAUGGUUCGAAAUUGAAAGGCGGCUUCGGCUGUCACUUAUGGAUGGACCCGCGUCGCAUUAGCUAGUUGGUGAGGUAACGGCUCACAAAGGCAACGAUGCGUAGGAGACCUGAGAGGGGGAUCGGCCACACGGGGACUGAGACACGGCCCAGACUCCGACUGGAGGCAGCAGGAGGGAAUCUUCCGCAAUGGACGAAAGUCUGACGGAGCAACGCCGCGUGAGUGAUGAAGGCUUUCGGGUCGUAAAACUCUGUUGUUAGGGAAGAACAAGUGCUAGUUGAAUAAGCUGGCACCUUGACGGUACCUAACCAGAAAGCCACGGCUAACUACGUGCCAGCAGCCGCCGUAA